CCUACGGGGGGCUGCAGUGAGGAAUAUUGGUCAAUGGACGAGAGUCUGAACCAGCCAAGUAGCGUGAAGGAUGACUGCCCUAUGGGUUGUAAACUUCUUUUAUAUGGGAAUAAAACGUUCCACGUGUGGGAUUUUGUAUGUACCAUAUGAAUAAGGAUCGGCUAACUCCGUGCCAGCAGCCGCGGUAAUACGGAGGAUCCGAGCGUUAUCCGGAUUUAUUGGGUUUAAAGGGAGCGUAGGUGGAUUGUUAAGUCAGUUGUGAAAGUUUGCGGCUCAACCGUAAAAUUGCAGUUGAAACUGGCAGUCUUGAGUACAGUAGAGGUGGGCGGAAUUCGUGGUGUAGCGGUGAAAUGCUUAGAUACCACGAAGAACUCCGAUUGCGAAGGCAGUUCACUGGACUGCAACUGACACUGAGGCUCGAAAGUGUGGGUAUCAAACAGGAUUAGAUACCCGGGUAGUC
This 460-nucleotide ribosomal RNA is filed under the name uncultured bacterium. Its description in RNAcentral is "partial 16S ribosomal RNA". It matches the Rfam family "Bacterial small subunit ribosomal RNA", at positions 338 to 795 of the family's 1533-position model. The record is from RNAcentral.